GAAAUGCGAUAAGUAAUGUGAAUUGCAGAAUUCAGUGAAUCAUCGAAUCUUUGAACGCACAUUGCGCCCGCCAGUAUUCUGGCGGGCAUGCCUGUCCGAGCGUCAUUUCAACCAUCAAGCCCCCGGGCUUGUGUUGGGGACCUGCGGCUGCCCGCAGGCCCUGAAAACCAGUGGCGGGCUCGCUGUCACACCGAGCGUAGUAGCAAUCACCUCGCUCAGGGCGUGCUGCGGGUUCCGGCCGUUAAACAGCCUUACAAAACCCAAGGUUGACCUCGGAUCAGGUAGGAAGACCCGCUGAACUUUAGC
RNAcentral lists this unclassified non-coding RNA (306 nucleotides) under plant metagenome. RNAcentral's name for it is "partial contains 5.8S ribosomal RNA, internal transcribed spacer 2, and large subunit ribosomal RNA". The stretch from base 1 to 105 matches the Rfam family "5.8S ribosomal RNA", at positions 50 to 154 of the family's 154-position model. The record is from RNAcentral.